UGGGGAAUUUUGGACAAUGGGCGAAAGCCUGAUCCAGCCAUGCCGCGUGAGUGAAGAAGGCCUUCGGGUUGUAAAGCUCUUUUAGUCGGAAAGAAAGAGUUGCAAUGAAUAAUUGUGAUUUAUGACGGUACCGACAGAAAAAGCACCGGCUAACUACGUGCCAGCAGCCGCGGUAAUACGUAGGGUGCGAGCGUUAAUCGGAAUUACUGGGCGUAAAGGGUGCGCAGGCGGUUUUGUAAGUCAGAUGUGAAAUCCCCGGGCUUAACCUGGGAAUUGCGUUUGAAACCGCAAGACUAGAGUGCAGCAGAGGGGAGUGGAAUUCCAUGUGUAGCAGUGAAAUGCGUAGAGAUGUGGAAGAACACCGAUGGCGAAGGCAGCUCCCUGGGUUGACACUGACGCUCAUGCACGAAAGCGUGGGGAGCAAACA
Molecule: ribosomal RNA, 427 nt
Filed under: uncultured beta proteobacterium
Lineage: Bacteria; Pseudomonadati; Pseudomonadota; Betaproteobacteria
Description: bacterial SSU rRNA
Rfam family: Bacterial small subunit ribosomal RNA
Source: RNAcentral